CCUAAACGAGGGACUUGAUGAAUUCUGGUUGAAUGACUGAAGAAAUAAUGAACACUUCUGUUUCCUCAGUUAGAAAAAGUGAGAAAAGUGUCAGCAUUUUAAGGAUUGUCAUAUAUUCCUGAAAUGUCAUAGAAUAAGAGGGAAGAUUAUGAAGAAGCAACUUAGCACUUAUCUUGCUGUCUCUUCCAAAGUAAUGCUCUCACAUUAAAAAGAGGUUCCUCAUGAGAUUGACAGUAGCACCCUUAGUCACCAGGCCCCUGCUCGCAGAUCUAGCUACGAAGGACAAUGGAGUUAUAUGGCGUGUGAGCACUUACUGAUUACACACUGAAAGCAAGCGGUGCCAGCAGCUCGCGAACUGUUGGUCAGCAGGUCUCUCAGCUGCCUGUUCACGCUGGAGAUGUCCGAGUUCUCAUGUCACUGCACUUUCAUCCCAUGGAGCACUGGGAACGACAUUUUGUGGAUUUCCUAUGAGAAAUAAAGCCAGGUAGCUGAGCAAUAAAAGACAAAGGAGGAGAAGAGAACCACGAGCUUGAGCUGCCAUUUUGUAAGAACACUCAAGUAGCCCCAUGGAGAGGUCCCUGUGUCAAAGAACUGAGUUCUUCCAAUAAGCAUAAAGGGAGUGAGAAUUCCUGCCAGCAUCUGUGUGAGUGUGCAAUCUUGGAAGCAGAUCCUCCAGCUCCAGUCAAACCUUCAGAUGACUGCAGCACUGGCAGACAUUUUGACUACAAUUUCUUUAGAGAGCCUGAGCCAGAGCCACCCAGAUAAGCUGCUCCCAAA
This is a non-coding RNA of Microcebus murinus (gray mouse lemur), 777 nucleotides long. Lineage: Eukaryota; Metazoa; Chordata; Mammalia; Primates; Cheirogaleidae. The record is from RefSeq and is a predicted model, not a curated record.